Molecule: ribosomal RNA, 268 nt
Filed under: Camponotus grandidieri
Lineage: Eukaryota; Metazoa; Arthropoda; Insecta; Hymenoptera; Formicidae
Description: partial 12S ribosomal RNA
Source: RNAcentral
UWUUUUUUUUUUAGAGGAACUUGUUUAUUAAAUUGAUAAUCCACGAGUAGAAGAACUUAAUUUUUUUUUAUGUAUUGUUGUUGUAAAAUUAUAUUAAUAGAUAUUAAUUGAUAAAUUUAAUUAAAAUUAUAAUUCAAAUCAAAAUGUAGAAUAAUUAAGAGUUUAAUGAGUUACAAUUAAUUUAAUAAUUGGAAUUUAAAAAUUUAAUUUAUAGAUAAAAUUGGAUUAAAAGUAAAUUUAUAUAAAUAUAUAAAUGAAUAAAAAUAAA